This 467-nucleotide ribosomal RNA is filed under the name uncultured bacterium. RNAcentral's name for it is "partial 16S ribosomal RNA". It matches the Rfam family "Bacterial small subunit ribosomal RNA", at positions 28 to 507 of the family's 1533-position model. The record is from RNAcentral.
GACGAACGCUGGCGGCGUGCUUAACACAUGCAAGUCGAACGGAAAGGCCUCUUUCGGGGGGUACUCGAGUGGCGAACGGGUGAGUAACACGUGAGUAACCUGCCCUUGACUUUGGGAUAACUUCAGGAAACUGGGGCUAAUACCGGAUAGGAGCUCCUGCUGCAUGGUGGGGGUUGGAAAGUUUCGGCGGUUGGGGAUGGACUAGCGGCUUAUCAGCUUGUUGGUGGGGUAGUGGCUUACCAAGGCUUUGACGGGUAGCCGGCCUGAGAGGGUGACCGGCCACAUUGGGACUGAGAUACGGCCCAGACUCCUACGGGAGGCAGCAGUGGGGAAUAUUGCACAAUGGGUGGAAGCCUGAUGCAGCAACGCCGUGUGCGGGAUGACGGCCUUCGGGUUGUAAACCGCUUUCGCUCAUGACGAAGCUUUGUGUGACGGUAGUGGGUAAAGAAGCACCGGCUAACUACGUG